Molecule: long non-coding RNA, 315 nt
Filed under: Elaeis guineensis (African oil palm)
Lineage: Eukaryota; Viridiplantae; Streptophyta; Magnoliopsida; Arecales; Arecaceae
Description: long non-coding RNA (EGUI_LNC038557)
Source: RNAcentral
AGGCAUGGGAGCUGGGUGCAAUAUCGAGUAUUUCUCUUUUUUCAUCGAGUCGAGCUCAAGCUUGGAAUAUCAAGAUUCAAUCGAUCUCGUGUCAAGUUUCAUAUCCAAGUAUUUUGAUUGAAGUUAAUCUUGAUCUUCUAGCAUUUGACGCAGCACAGCUUGAUUGCAUUCCUAUGUAUGUUACUCUUUUUAUAACUACACUUAACUUUAUUUUUUUCUAGACAUUAUGUGGAUAAAAACACAUACAAUUGGAGUAUAUGUAGCAAAAGAGUAUAAGUAUAGCAUGACUGAAAGUGUUUAGAGUAUAGAAAUGGC